AGAAGAGAGAGAAGAUGCAUCCGAACCAGGGCGUCUUGUCGUCCUUGCGGGGCGAGGGCGAUAUGAAUGAAAGGCAGGCAGUUCUUUUCUCUGUGGUUGAAGUGAACCAGUCUUUUCUUUAAUGACUCCAGAUUUGGAGACUUAGAAAGGUCCUUCCAAGUUCAAGGGAUGAAGAGAGAAGGGCCGUGACUCCGCAAGUGUAACAUUUGGGCACAGGCAUACUUCCUGUACUCAACAGGAAGUACUCAACAUACAUCUGUUGCACUACUGCACUUCUAAAGGUCUGAUUUUCCUGAAGUCAUGGACUAUGUCUUUUGACUUUCCACAGCAACUAGAAGAGUUAUUUAAACUAAACAAGAG
RNAcentral lists this long non-coding RNA (360 nucleotides) under Mustela putorius furo (domestic ferret). RNAcentral's name for it is "lncRNA (ENSMPUG00000029446.1)". The record is from RNAcentral. Lineage: Eukaryota; Metazoa; Chordata; Mammalia; Carnivora; Mustelidae.